AGACAUCUGACCCAAAGGAUGCCGGGCUUCCUCCAGAUAUAGUUGUAAAUAAACAUAAUGUAGGCGAGGAUGUUCUUACAAAUGUAAGUCCUUUAAGGACUAUCUUUCCUUCAACCUCGUCCGAUAAGUAGAUUGUAACAACCCUGUAUUCUUAAUGAAAUUUUAAUUUCUUUUUACUUGAAUUAUUUUUCGCUUUAUAAUUU
This 203-nucleotide long non-coding RNA is filed under the name Manihot esculenta (cassava). RNAcentral's name for it is "long non-coding RNA (MESC_LNC010405)". Lineage: Eukaryota; Viridiplantae; Streptophyta; Magnoliopsida; Malpighiales; Euphorbiaceae. The record is from RNAcentral.